Molecule: long non-coding RNA, 1233 nt
Organism: Ornithorhynchus anatinus (platypus)
Lineage: Eukaryota; Metazoa; Chordata; Mammalia; Monotremata; Ornithorhynchidae
Exons: 3
Source: RefSeq, a predicted model, not a curated record
UUAGUACAGUAUCUGGUGCAUAGUGCGCACACUUAACCAGUAUGAUUUAAAAAAAAAAUAAAACAGUAACAGGAUGCUAAAUUGGAUAAAUCCAGAGGUCGAUAAAGAGCCACAGGAUAAAUGUGUUUAUUUCCAAAGCGAGCUUGGGCUGUUGAGUUUUUCUCCGUGAAUGCAUCCCAAUAUCACCGCUAAUUGCACGAGGCCAAAGGCUUUUUGAUGACUUUUCACUAUGAGCAGGGCACUUUCGGAGGGCACAAGCAUUCCUUACCCUGGUCAACCCUUCUGAGCUACAGGACUGUGCCCUCUAGGUCCCUGGAAUUUCUUCAGCAGGGGCCCUGCAGUAGAGCCAAGUAGAAGACUUGCGGAAACUUUCCCCCUUUUCUUAUUCUUACCUCAUAGUGACACUUUCACAGCUGUCCACAAGCUAAAAAGUUUUCCUUCUCUAAUUGUAUUUUCCGCCUCCUGAGAUGUCGGAUUUGCCACUGGGCGCUGAGCUGGCUUGUCGGGUAUGGAAGGACAUUCACAAUCAUUCUCUACUUUGCUCUCUUUGCCACCUGCCACUGCACGGAAAUUGUCCUGACCGGGCUCAUGGGGCUUUCAUUCUGUCUCCUUUUGAUGCCGAGUAUUAAAGUGUCGGGAAAAAUCAGGGACUUUUUCGGGAAGCAGAAAUUGCCUUUUUUCAUGCACAGUUCUUGCCAGGAACACCCAUUUAUCCGUGCUGCUGACUCCUUGAUCUGUGACUGAACCUACAGUUAGACUGUCAAGGAAAUCCACCGGGAACCCUGCUGCCUUCCCACUACCACACGCAGGACCCCUGUUCCUAGGAUGCUCUGGGUACGCUGGGCCACCGGGAUUUAAACUGCAGUAGCGCAUCUCUCAGACAGCUGAGCAAAUCCCACCACACCUCCCAAGACCCCCAAUUUCCCCAGCUAUCGGACCAUCACGAUGCCUCCCCGGAAUCGUGCAUCGGCUUGCCUCUUUUCAUCCCGGCCUGCCCCGCGUCGCCCCAGUGGAUGGAGGGAAGCAGCGUCAGCCUGGAGCCACCUCCACAAACCCCGGGAAGACUGUGAUGUGGACUCCAAGCCCCAAGGAGCCUGAAAUUCUGCUCUUCUAGACACAGUACCCGACUGAGCUUUGUUCUUAUUUUGGAUUGCAAACCUCCUGAGGGCCUGGGACCAUACUUACUUCCCUUCUGAGAAUUUCUAAAAAUACAAUGCUCUGUACAGUGUAAAU